Long non-coding RNA from Anolis carolinensis (green anole), 377 nucleotides. RefSeq lists it as uncharacterized. The record is from RefSeq and is a predicted model, not a curated record. NCBI's taxonomy places the organism in Eukaryota, Metazoa, Chordata, Lepidosauria, Squamata, Anolidae. The transcript has 2 exons.
AGUGAGGGAGUAGGAGAAGCAUGGGGCACAUCUGGUCCUCGGAAAAGGUGGGAGGCCAGGGCCGAGGCGACUCACCCAGGUUACCAGCGGGCUGUGGAGGAAGAGCUCCAUGAGUUCGGAAAUGGUCACAUCCAUGGGGAUCGGGGCCCUUGAGGAGAGACCCGAUCCGGUCCUGAGAGAACGGACCUUGGCGGAGCCAAAAGGAAAAUACGAGCCGCAAUACAACCUGAAGCCGAAAUGAAGAAGGUCCGCCAAAGUUGAAGGAAAAUCCGCCAAGGAGUCUUUAUUGAGCAAUUCAGCUGAAGAGGACUCUGGUAGCGAUCAUUCGACUUACCAGCAGUCCCAUACAAUCAAAAUAAAGCCAUACUUAUACAAAA